This 188-nucleotide non-coding RNA is filed under the name Bacillus taeanensis. RNAcentral's name for it is "6S / SsrS RNA". It matches the Rfam family "6S / SsrS RNA". From Rfam's summary of the family: E. coli 6S RNA was the first non coding RNA to be sequenced, but its function was unknown until recently. It consists of 184 nucleotides that fold into an extended hairpin structure with a large single-stranded internal bulge. The 6S RNA specifically associates with RNA polymerase holoenzyme containing the sigma70 specificity factor. Lineage: Bacteria; Bacillati; Bacillota; Bacilli; Caryophanales; Bacillaceae. The record is from Rfam by way of RNAcentral.
AGAGUCCUAAGGUGUUCGUUAAAUACCGAUUGUUUUGAGCCAACAUUUUUACAACGGGAGCUUGGAGUUUUCAUUUGGAGUACAUGCCUCAUUUUUAAAAAGAGAGGACUUACAAAGAAUGAAGCAGAGCACCCACCUGCCGAGAGCAGGUUCAAAACAAAGGAUAUGACGGCACAAUUGGGGCUCUU